UGCCAGCCGCCGCGGUAAGACGAACCGUCCAAACGUUAUUCGGAAUCACUGGGCUUAAAGAGUGCGUAGGCGGCUUAGCAAGUUGGGUGUGAAAUCCCUCGGCUCAACCGAGGAACUGCGCUCAAAACUGCCAAGCUCGAGGAAGAUAGGGGUGAUGGGAACUUAUGGUGGAGCGGUGAAAUGCGUUGAUAUCAUAGGGAACACCGGUGGCGAAAGCGCAUCACUGGAUCUUUUCUGACGCUGAGGCACGAAAGCUAGGGUAGCGAACGGGAUUAGAUA
Molecule: ribosomal RNA, 279 nt
Filed under: uncultured bacterium
Lineage: Bacteria
Description: partial 16S ribosomal RNA
Rfam family: Bacterial small subunit ribosomal RNA
Source: RNAcentral